Gossypium arboreum is the source of this 383-nucleotide long non-coding RNA. RefSeq lists it as uncharacterized. NCBI's taxonomy places the organism in Eukaryota, Viridiplantae, Streptophyta, Magnoliopsida, Malvales, Malvaceae. The record is from RefSeq and is a predicted model, not a curated record. The transcript has 2 exons.
ACAAGUCUGGUCAUUGCAGCUAUUGGAUAAUUGGAUGGGCAAAGUACAUAAUGCUUGGUUAUCAAUUGAGGCUGAAACACCUGAUCUCGUUGCAUCAUGAACUUUUUCCUCCAGUUCCUUUCUGCCAUUGUAACAAUUUCGUUAUUUGAAAAGGGCAAGAAGAAGGGAAAGUGAAAUGAUGAGCAAUGAGGAUAGAGAUAAGCGUUAGUCAUUUGCGAGUAGAGCCAUCUUUGUAUGAUUCCUUUAGUAGUUGUUGGAUCUACAAUGGCACUGGAAUGCCUAAGGAUAUUGUUAAAACUACAAACAUCAUCCUUAUCUUUCAUUUUGUAUUGGGAUUUUUCAUUAGAUACAAUCAGAUAUGAUCCAUUUUUAUGUGGACGAAA